This 443-nucleotide ribosomal RNA is filed under the name uncultured bacterium. RNAcentral describes it as "partial 16S ribosomal RNA". It matches the Rfam family "Bacterial small subunit ribosomal RNA", at positions 338 to 795 of the family's 1533-position model. The record is from RNAcentral.
CCUACGGGAGGCAGCAGUGGGGAAUAUUGGGCAAUGGAGGCAACUCUGACCCAGCAACGCCGCGUGAAUGAUGAAGGUCUUCGGAUUGUAAAGUUCUUUUCUAAGGGAAGAAGAAAGUGACGGUACCUUAGGAAUAAGCCUCGGCUAACUACGUGCCAGCAGCCGCGGUAAGACGUAGGAGGCAAGCGUUAUCCGGAAUGACUGGGCGUAAAGGGUGCGUAGGUGGUCUGACAAGUUAGUAGCGAAACUCCGGAGCUCAACUUCGGAACUACUACUAAAACUGUUGGGCUUGAGUGCAGUAGAGGUGGGCGGAAUUCGUGGUGUAGCGGUGAAAUGCGUAGAUAUCACGAGGAACUCCGAUUGCGAAGGCAGUUCACUGGACUGCAACUGACACUGAGGCUCGAAAGUGUGGGUAUCAAACAGGAUUAGAUACCCUUGUAGUC